Molecule: unclassified non-coding RNA, 792 nt
Filed under: Hevea brasiliensis (rubber tree)
Lineage: Eukaryota; Viridiplantae; Streptophyta; Magnoliopsida; Malpighiales; Euphorbiaceae
Source: RNAcentral
UUUGUUCUCAAUAGUCUUUCUCCAUAGCUCCUACUUUUGAUUAACUGUUUUACUAGUUUCAUCUACUAAAACAAUAUUAUUUGCAAAUAAUAUGCACCAUGGGACAUCAUCUUAAAAAUGACUAGCCAGCUCAUCCAUAAAACCUACCAUGAAUCCAUUGUGAUGUGAAACUCGUCUGUGUCCCUCCCACUAUCCUUACACUCAUGAUCACCCCUCAUACAUGUCCUUAAAAACAUUUAUAUACUUGAGAUUUACUCCUUUAUUCUUUAGCAUCACCAAAGAACUUUUAUCGGUAAUCUAUCGUAUGCUUUUUCUAGGUCAGUGGAUAAUAUGGGGAGAUCCUUUUUACUCUCCUUGUAUAUUUCUAUCAAUCUUAUUAAAAAGAUAGGCUUUGUUGUUGAUCUACCAAGCAUCAAGCCAAACUGGUUCUCUGAUUCCUCAGUAGUGUCCUUGAGUCUACGCUUAAUCACUCUUUUCCAUAGCUUAAUCGUAUGAUUCUUCAGUUUAAUACUACAGUAGUUUGUACAACUUUGGAUAUCUCUUUUAUUCUUAAAGAUAGAAACCAAAGAGCUAUUCCUCCAUGCAUUUGCCAUCUUUUUCGAUUGUAGUAUGCCAUUGAAUAGCUUGGUUAGCCAAGCCACUCCAACCUCCUCAAUGCACCUCCAUAUUUUUAUAGGGAUACCAUCUAGGGGGCUGCAAGCUAUCCUAAUCUUCAUAUUCUUCAACCUAUAUGAAAAAAUGAAAAGAUCCAUAAUUAGAGUUUGAAUACCAUUAAAAUCAGUGUUAUCAAGG